AACAUUUCUCUCAUUUCCAGAGAGUUCCAAACGCUCUGUCUUCUCUCUUCUUUCUCUCUCUAUAUUUUCUAUGAUUUCUCGGUCAAAUAUCAAUGUUUACAUGGUAUCAGAGCCGAGACGACGAUCCGAUCAUGUUUCUCUAUAUCUCGUUGUCUUGGUUGAACUCUUUUCUGAGAUUUUUUGGGGAUUUUUCUGAGACCUUAUGUUCGAUGAUGCUUCUGACCCAUGUUUCUCUCAUCUCGUUGUCUUGGUUGAACUCUUUUCUGAGAUUUUUUGGGGAUUUUUCUGAAACCUUAUGGUCGAUGAUUCUUCUGACCUAGAUCGGAUGCUUUUCCGAGUUUUUCGUCAUGAUAUCUAAGUGUAUUUUCUUCACCCGAACAUUCUGAGAGUUUUUUUGCUGAUUUUGGGUGGUUUCUCGGUGACCUAUCGGCUUCUAGGGUUUCUGGUGGUUUAACCUAGGGUUCUACUGCUUUCCGGUGGCUCGAUUCUCACUCGGUGGACGUUUUGGGUGCCUCUCCAACGUUCCUGACCACAUUUCCAGUAAGGAUUUCGAAGGUUACACUUAGG
RNAcentral lists this long non-coding RNA (567 nucleotides) under Nicotiana benthamiana. RNAcentral describes it as "long non-coding RNA (NBEN_LNC040418)". Lineage: Eukaryota; Viridiplantae; Streptophyta; Magnoliopsida; Solanales; Solanaceae. The record is from RNAcentral.